Xiphophorus hellerii (green swordtail) is the source of this 1880-nucleotide long non-coding RNA. RefSeq lists it as uncharacterized. NCBI's taxonomy places the organism in Eukaryota, Metazoa, Chordata, Actinopteri, Cyprinodontiformes, Poeciliidae. The record is from RefSeq and is a predicted model, not a curated record. The transcript is spliced from 2 exons.
AGAGCCCACAAAAAGACCCCCUGGCAGGGUACAAAAAAAAAUUCUGACAAAUUAGCAAAACAGAAAAAUGCACAAAAAAAAACCCUGCAUAAAGUCUUUCAGCACUUUAGAGUGUGGAUGAAUGACAUAAAGACUUCAUUUUGGAAAAUAAGCAGGAUUAGAAACAUCAGUGGAACUAAAGUCCCCCCCUAACAUCCUUCAAAGAAACUUAUAGGUAUUAACAGUGUUGUAGUCAAGACCACUGAGACAAGACCAAGACUUUUAGGGUCCGAGACCAAGUCAAGACCAAGACCGAGGGAAGUCGAGACCGAGUCAAGACCAGCGCCAGCGUCCUGUAUUAGGGUGGUGAAUUCCCGUCCCCACCUUUUCAAGGUCUCAGCAGCAACCACCUGCAAUGUGGCCAACAUGCAGCCUUUUAUAGUUCCUGGCUGCUCCAAUUAACAAACCCACCAAGAAACAGGGUCAAACAAAAUACAUACACACAAACAAACUUGACAAAAACAACCAAAUCUUCAGAAUAAUUAUAUGUUAGCAAAUACUAUUCAUUUUAAAGCAGACAUUUCAUUUCUAAAAAGACAUUUCUAUAAAUAUAAAUCCAACAUUAGACUUCUAAAGUGCACAGUUCUACUCCCCCCCCCCCCCCCCCCCUCCUCCAUAUGCAUUGGUUUCUUCUGGAACCUUUAAAAGGUGUUCGGCCCCCAGGGGAAUCUUUUAGCCUGAACACCUUGCAGAGGAGGAGACAGAGGACACCAUCAGUUCCAGCUGAGAUGCCACUGCAUAAAAACACACAAUCAAUAAAAUACUUCAAUCUGUUUGUACCUGUUUCUUUUAUCAUUCAACACAUUUUAAGUGCUUCCAGCUAAGUAACGAAGACCUUCAUUACAGUUAAGCUAAAUGAAAAAUAUGUACUUCAUAGUACAAACCACAGGGUGGAAAUAGCAAUACAAGUGAUUUUAUCAUUACAUAUUAUUUUUCCAUGAUGAUAGGUGAGGCUCUGCCUCCCCUGACCGCACCUCACUGCAAUUGAGGCAAUGCCCUCACAGUAAACAACGCUCAACUAUGAACACUGACCAAAGAGCAACAAUCAAGAAGUAACCAAGCACAAGGCGCUCAGCAUGACUGAGUCUUGGAGAGCCGCUGAGUGAAAGGUGGGGACGGGGGAGUAAAGUUAUUGCUUGGAUUUGAAUCGGUGGGUUGUACAGCACGUUGGACAGUAUGCUGGAAGUUUAGUGAUAUUUCCACAGUUGCGGUCUUAAAAUAAAAUCCCGAGUCCUCAGCGCCCGAGACCAUCAAAAAAUGGUCUCCAGACCAAGACCGGUCUCGAGUACUACAACACUGGUAUUAACAGCUAAAAAAUUUAAAUAAUAAUAAUUAAAUAAUCAUCAUCUGGGGAACUAUUCAAUUCAAAAGUACUUCUCUGAUUGCAAAAAGAAUGCUGAGAGCUGAAUCUUUUGCCUAAAAAGUGCUGAAAUAUUUGAAGUCAAUUGCAGAAAACUUGUGAAAAUUGAAUAAGUUAGCCAAAAUGUUACAUGAGCAAAGCUUUAGGCUGAUCUGCUUAAAUGGCUAAAAACAGCCAAACAAGCUGAAAUGACCACAAAACUACUUGUUUACAGUUGCAGAAAUGUAAAUACAGGCGGACGGGUAAAGAAACAAACAAACAAGAAAACUUCAUAGAAGAUAUAUUGAAAAAUCCCAACAGUUUGAAACAAAUUGUAAUAAAGGAUGAAUAUUUCAAACACUUAAAACAAAAAAGUAGAAUAUGAUGGUGAAACUUGCACCAGACUCCUCGCAUUUAACUUUGUAGAGUAAAAAAAAAGAUAUUAAAAUGUAAAAUAAAUGGCAGAAACAUUUAAAGAACUGCCACCAGAUAAAGUUAAGAA